GUAUAGUAGCCCAAUCUCGGGAGCCCGCAAGGGUUUUUAGGGGAAGCCGGUUGAAAUCCGGCACGGUGCCGCCACUGUGACCGGGGACGAAUUCUCAUUGUCCGACCGGAAGUCAGAAAACCACCCGAGCCCAUAGAGCCUUC
This 143-nucleotide non-coding RNA is filed under the name Elusimicrobiota bacterium. Lineage: Bacteria; Pseudomonadati; Elusimicrobiota. The record is from RNAcentral.